Molecule: long non-coding RNA, 530 nt
Filed under: Portunus trituberculatus (swimming crab)
Lineage: Eukaryota; Metazoa; Arthropoda; Malacostraca; Decapoda; Portunidae
Description: uncharacterized LOC123498847, transcript variant X3
Source: RNAcentral
GAGGUUUCUUUCCAUGGAUGAGGUUGCUGGCCUGGUCUCGGGUAUAAAGGAGAACGCUGCAUGUCCUCCCUCAUCAGUCUCCUGGAAACCUGCAGCUCGCUAAGUCUACUCUUACAAUAUGAAGUUCUCCCUGUUCUUUUUGGUGGCUAUGGCCUGCCUGGUGGCAGUUUAUGCCAUGCCAGGCCCUGUUGCCCUCGCUGGCCCUCAUCCCGGGGCAUACCCAGAUCCUUCAGCUGACCCUCACUGGGGUGGUGGCUACGGCGGCUGGGGAGGCCACCACCACCAUCACCACGGCCACCAUCACUGGGGCUAACUUACUCGACCGAUUUCUGGACGACGAUGGCAAUGGCAACGAUGGACGCUCCACACUUUCUGUCUUCCCUUUAGCGUCUCUCAUUAAGUGAGAUUGGGCAAGGGUUAGAAUUUACCUUGGAUUACACUAGAAAUUAAUUACUGAUGGGAAUUUUUUUAUACAUAAAUCUUCAAUGGGGAUAAUUGUAAUUUCUUACAAAAUAAAUUCUGUACGUUUA